This 469-nucleotide ribosomal RNA is filed under the name uncultured bacterium. Its description in RNAcentral is "bacterial SSU rRNA". It matches the Rfam family "Bacterial small subunit ribosomal RNA", at positions 1052 to 1529 of the family's 1533-position model. The record is from RNAcentral.
UCGUCAGCUCGUGCCGUGAGGUGUCGGCUUAAGUGCCAUAACGAGCGCAACCCUUAUCUUCAGUUACUAACAGGUCAUGCUGAGGACUCUGGAGAGACUGCCGUCGUAAGAUGUGAGGAAGGUGGGGAUGACGUCAAAUCAGCACGGCCCUUACGUCCGGGGCUACACACGUGUUACAAUGGGGGGUACAGAAGGCAGCUACCGGGCGACCGGAUGCCAAUCCCAAAAACCUCUCUCAGUUCGGAUCGAAGUCUGCAACCCGACUUCGUGAAGCUGGAUUCGCUAGUAAUCGCGCAUCAGCCAUGGCGCGGUGAAUACGUUCCCGGGCCUUGUACACACCGCCCGUCAAGCCAUGAAAGCCGGGGGUACCUGAAGUACGUAACCGCAAGGAGCGUCCUAGGGUAAAACUGGUAAUUGGGGCUAAGUCGUAACAAGGUAGCCGUACCGGAAGGUGCGGCUGGAUCACCUC